Molecule: ribosomal RNA, 497 nt
Filed under: uncultured bacterium
Lineage: Bacteria
Description: partial 16S ribosomal RNA
Rfam family: Bacterial small subunit ribosomal RNA
Source: RNAcentral
GAUGAACGCUGGCGGCGUGCCUAAUACAUGCGAGUCGAGCGAACAGACGAGGAGCUUGCUCCUCUGACGUUAGCGGCGGACGGGUGAGUAACACGUGGAUAACCUACCUAUAAGACUGGGAUAACUUCGGGAAACCGGAGCUAAUACCGUAUAAUAUAUUGAACCGCAUGGUUCAAUAGUGAAAGACGGUUUUGCUGUCACUUAUAGAUGGAUCCGCGCCGCAUUAGCUAGUUGGUAAGGUAACGGCUUACCAAGGCGACGAUGCGUAGCCGACCUGAGAGGGUGAUCGGCCACACUGGAACUGAGACACGGUCCAGACUCCUACGGGAGGCAGCAGUAGGGAAUCUUCCGCAAUGGGCGAAAGCCUGACGGAGCAACGCCGCGUGAGUGAUGAAGGUCUUCGGAUCGUAAAACUCUGUUAUUAGGGAAGAACAAAUGUGUAAGUAACUAUGCACGUCUUGACGGUACCUAAUCAGAAAGCCACGGCUAACUACGUG